GGCCAGACUCCUACGGGAGGCAGCAGUGGGGAAUAUUGGGCAAUGGAGGAAACUCUGACCCAGCAAUGCCGCGUGAAUGAAGAAGGUCUUCGGAUUGUAAAGUUCUUUAGUCAGGGAAGAAGUCAAUGACGGUACCUGAAGAAUAAGCUCCGGCUAACUACGUGCCAGCAGCCGCGGUAAUACGGAGGAUGCGAGCGUUAUCCGGAUUUAUUGGGUUUAAAGGGUGCGUAGGCGGGAUGCCAAGUCAGCGGUAAAAAUGCGGUGCUCAACGCCGUCGAGCCGUUGAAACUGGCGUUCUUGAGUGGGCGAGAAGUAUGCGGAAUGCGUGGUGUAGCGGUGAAAUGCAUAGAUAUCACGCAGAACUCCGAUUGCGAAGGCAGCAUACCAGCGCCCUACUGACGCUGAGGCACGAAAGCGUGGGUAUCGAACAGGAUUAGAUACCCGCGUA
RNAcentral lists this ribosomal RNA (448 nucleotides) under uncultured bacterium. RNAcentral describes it as "partial 16S ribosomal RNA". It matches the Rfam family "Bacterial small subunit ribosomal RNA", at positions 329 to 792 of the family's 1533-position model. The record is from RNAcentral.